AAAUAAAUAAGCUGCCUUAUUACAUUUAAAAGCCCAAAACCUCAAACGUAAUUAAAAGGAUGACAAGUUCACCAGAAGAAAAUCAAACUUUCAGAACGGGUGGCCACUCCGAAUUCCCUCACAGCUCCAAGCCCACUAUGGUUGGGGAUUACCUGCGUGGAUGAAAAUAAAAGGGAUAAGUUUGGGGAAACUCAGUGUAUAAAAUAACCCAACCAUAGUCUAAAUCAGCUCAACCCACAGAAACAGAAUAAGUUGGCCUUAGCCCAGAACAGAAUUCAGAAUAAAGCCCAUAUGCCCAUAACAGAACAGAACAGAUAUUACAUGUUUAUGCAGAAACCCAACCAUAUCCAACCGUAUACACCCCCGUACCAACCUUACACCGUGUGGGGAGACAACUCGACUCACCCAACCGCUACACACCACAGAAUUUGCAGCAUGGCUGCCAGAACAGAUAAUGUGACAGAGUCACCAGAUACAGAUAAUCGUGGCAGAGCCACCAGAACAGAUAUAUGUGGCAGAGCCACCAGAUCAGAUAUUUGUGGCAUAGCCACCAGAACGGUUCCUCCAUAAUAUAACCCAUGUCCCCAUGCAACAAAUACAUAAUCAUGGCAUCCAUCAUACAGAAUCAGAUCGCUAUGCUUUUCAGUCAAAAUUAACCCUACGGGUAUAACAGUAAUUUUGCACCCAGGGGUAUAACAGUAAUUUUCCAUACAUAGGGGUAUUAUAGUAAUUUAGCUACUUUCAGGGUUUUCAUGCAUAUCCUAACUAUUUACGUACUAUCAGAACACUUACCGCGCAUACUUACCGAAUUGGGCCCGUUGGCCCAUGAACCCGAUCUUUGGCCCAUUAAGCCCAAAUUAUCAAAAUGUACGAAAUCGCGCGUACUGCAGUUUAUUACUUUAGAUUACCAAAUAUACAAACCCAACUAUUUUACGAGCAUUCGCACACUCGUAAAUUCCCAAAAUACUGACUUUUCGGCAUUUCGGCUUUUGUCAAUCUAGUCUAUGAGAGGGUGUCAGUUACACACUUGUUUGCGACGAUAUGCUGACGAGAUCCACACACGAACCGCCUACAAUUGGAUUACUAAAACGUUAAUCUAACUAUUCAAAUACAAACUACGUAUUAAACCCUUACAAUAUUCGGUCAACCACACCUACAGAUCAUAGUAAGCUUAUAAGAAAUCAAUAAGCAACUCAUUAACAAAUUUUUGUCAAUGUUUACCACAUAAUCAUAAUUUCACUGCAAGCUGUCUUUCUGAGCAACAGUCACUAAAUCAUUUAUAACUAGAGCUAAGAAACUCCAAAUCAAGUGCUGUUAAUUUUCCCUGAAAAUAGACUCAUAUAUCUUCUAUCCUUUAAAUUUUCAAAAUUUUUGGUUUGGCCAAUCAAUACCAGAUAUUUCUUAAAGUUUCCUAUGUUUCACUGUUUGACUAAUCUGACCACUCUUCAUUACGAAUCAAAUUUCUCAUUGUACAGAAUUAAAAAUAUGUUCUCGUUUAUUUCAUUUGAAACUAGACUCAACAAACUUUAAUUACAUAAUUUAUUCACCUUCUAACUCAUCUCCCAGAAUUUAUGGUGAUUUUCCAAAGUCACACUACUGCUGCUGUCCCAAGCAGAUUUAUUACCAAAUCACUCUUUCACACAUAACUUGCAUGCAUGUUAUUUAAACAUGUAUAUCACCAAUCAAUCAUCACAUAUCUAUGAUUUUACUUAAGUAUAAUCUCCAUUUCAUCAUUUUAAAGCACAACAUGUUAGCUGAUUUUUCCCUUUAACAUCUAAGGCACAUGCAUGCUCAUUUGUUUGGCUCAACUUCACCUAUCUUCCAUUUUUCAUCAAAAGAACAUGAAACAACAACCAUUUCCUUCAUUUUAAUUCAUGACUAAAUGCUCACAACACAACUAAAAAUCAAAAUAUACUUCAAGAGUUAAGGUAGAAUCAAGAAGAACUCAUGAACCUCAAAAUAGAAGUAAGGUACCAAGAACUUACCUUCAAUUUUCCUCCUCCUAAUGACCGAAUACUCAAGAGCUUUCUCCUCUCCUUUCUCUUCUCUAACUUUCAGCUAUGAUGAACAAAGAUGGACAAAACUUUAUUCUUUUCACCCCUUUUUCUUUUAAUAAAACUUCAUAUUUCAUCCAUUUAAUUCUUUAAUACAAAAGACAUGAAAUUCUUAUCAUGAAACAUUUACCUAACCCAUUAUCAUGAAACAUUUACCUAACCCAUUAUCAUGUAACAUUUACCUAACCUAUUAUCAUGGAACAUUUACCUAACCUAUUAUCAAUUUGUAUCAAUUUGUCUACAACAACAUGAUGGUUGGCCACUUCAUGUAAAAUGGGAGGUUUGUCAUGCAAAUCCUCCUAUUUUGCACUCCUAUUUAUUUGGCCACUUCAAUUUAGCCUAUAGCAUUUUCAAACAUUUUCACAUAGGUCCUAUUUCAUAAUUUCACUCCCUUUUUCUUAUGGAACAAAAAUUAACUAAAAUUACCGGGUUCUAUCUUAAGCUUGGGCCAUCUAGAGGCCCACUAACAUAAUUAAACCUAUGCCAACAUUCACAGGAUUCCCGAAAAUUGGGGCGUUACAACUCUACCCUCCUUAAAGAAAUUUCGUCCUCGAAAUUUACCUAAUCCAAACAGAUGAGGGUAUUGCUGUUGCAUCGUCUCUUCUGGCUCCCAAACUCAGAAGUUUCCCCUUCCUUAACUUGUUGAAAACGAGCGACCAAAGACUCAUCGUUCAACUGUUUUUCCUUAAUCUGAUCCACCAGGUUGGCCUCACUUGCAACUCAGCCAAUAGACUUCCAUCAUCAUACAGACUCAGACGAGCAAACAUUGCUCUCAGAUCAGAUACAGCUCUCCGACUUAGAGCAUCGGCUACCACAUUAGCCUUGCUUGGGUGAUACUCGAUCGAACAGUCAUAAUCCUUAAGCAACUCAAUCCAUCUCCUUUGCCUAAGGUUCAGCUCCUUCUGAGUCAACAAAUACUUAAGACUCUUAUGGUCAGUGUAUAUAAUACACCUUUCUCCGUACAAGUAAUGUAUCCAAAUCCUAAGUGCAAAUAUCACUGCUGCCAACUCUAAAUCAUGAGUCAAAUAGUUUCCUUCAUGGGGCUUAAGCUGUCGUGAUGCAUAUGCAACCACCUUACCCUCUUGCAUUAACACGUAGCCCAAACCCACGUGUGAUGCGUCACUAUACACACUAAAAUCCUUCCCAGACUCCGGCUGAAUCAACACAGGUGCUUUAGUCAGAACUUUCUUCAACUUCUCAAAAGCUUCCUGCUGCUUCUCAGUCUAUACAAACGGUACUCCUUUUCUUAUGAAUUUUGUCAGAGGUGCUGCCAUCACAGAAAAACCUUCUACAAACCUUCUGUAGUAUCCUGCCAGUCCUAGGAAACUUAGUAUUUCCGACACCGUCCUAGGUGGCUUCCAUUCCAAAAUUGCUUCAACCUUUCGAGGGUCCACCUUAAUCCCUUCGGCAGAGACCACAUGUCCUAAGAAGGUUACCUCCCUCAACCAAAAUUCACACUUGCUGAACUUCACAAAGAGUUCCUUCUCCCUUAAUACUUACAGCACUAUACGGAGAUGCUCAUCAUGUUUCGUUUCAGUUUUAGAAUAUACCAGGAUAUCGUCAAUAAAGACGACUACGAACUGAUCCAAAAAUGGUUGGAAUACACGAUUCAUCAGAUCCAUAAACGCUGUAGGAGCAUUCGUUAGUCCAAAUGGCAUAACCAGAAACUCGUAAUGACCAUACUGAGUCCUGAAUGUCAUCUUUUGGAUAUUUGCCUCCUUGACCCUUAACUGAUGAUAUCCAGAUCGAAGGUCGAUCUUGGAAAAUACAGAAGCUCCUCUAAGCUGGUCGAACAGAUCAUCAAUCCUUGGCAGCGGAUACUUAUUCUUAAUCGUCAGUUUGUUCAACUGGCGAUAAUUAAUGCACAUUCGCAUCGUACCAUCCUUCUUUUUCAUGAAUAGCACCGGUGCUCCCCAUGAAGACACGCUUGGCCUAAUAAAGCCCCUAUCCAACAACUCUUGAAUUUGAGCAUUUAACUCUACUAACUCCUUCGUGCCAUCCUAUACGGUGCGAUGGACACAGGCGCCGUUCCAGGCAACAAAUCUAUUCCAAACUCAACUUCUCGGUUCGGAGGUAAUCCUGGAAGCUCCUCCAGAAAAACAUCUUGGAGCUCUUUUACGGUCCUAACCUUAUCCACUGUCAGUCCCUCCUCUUCCGACUGACUUACAAAUGCCAAAUAGGCCUCACAACCUUUCCGAAUCCACGUCUCGACUCUUAAUACCGAUACCACAUUGAACAAAUAAUCCCUUCGCUCACCUAUCACCAUAACCUCCUCAUCCUUUGUGGUCCUUAACACCAUUCGUUUGACAGCACAAUCCAGAGUCACUUUAUGCUUAACAAGCCAGUCCAUUCCCAGAAUGAGAUCAAACUCUCCGAACGGUAACUCCAUCAGAUCUCCAGGGAAAAUCUUAUCUUGAGUUUCUAAGGGUACAUCCCUAUACAGUUUGUCUACCCUAACGGAGUGACUCAAAUGACUUAGUACAGAUAACCUACUCACAAUCUCCUCAGAGCAGUCCAAGUUGUCCAUAAUCCAUUCUGUGGCCUCCAACCAAUAUACUGCCACAUUCGGGACUAUACCAGACGCACCCCUAAAGAUCUCCGCUCCGUUGGCCCGGAGUCGUUCAGAAAUCGAUCCUCAAAUUUCGUUGCCCGAACUUGUCCCGGUAACCCUUUCCUAAACACGAAGCAUUGCCUGUGACAGGGCAUCAUCCUCGACAUCGCGGUCAUGAGACUCUACCUCUGUUGCCAGUGGUACCGGUGCAUCCACCGUCGGCAUAUGUCUCGAAGACGAAGAUCUCGCUCGAGCACUUCCUCGACUCCGUCCACGGCCUCUUGUACUCAUAUCGUAUUAUCUUGAUUACGAAUUUUUAUGCAUCAAUAAAUAUUCAAGUGUUUAUUACAGAUGUUUUAUGAAUCAGACAGUAGUUUAGAGUUUGUUUUCACAGAAUCGAAGUCUAGCUACAGUUUCAGUCUCUUAUCAGAUUUUCCUAUGGUUUCAGUAUCAUCCUAUCUAGAGUAUCCUAGAAGGAUUUUAGUACAGACAGAUAAUUCAGGAGAAUAUUCAGAAAAGUUCAGAGUAAUACUUACAGGCUUGGGCCGGAGAUUCGGAAUGCCACCUUCUAAAGAUCUAAAUUUUAAAAAUCGCGUUUUUCGCAAUCUUUAUAAUUUUUUUUGAAAAUCUUUGUUUUUUUUUGUAAACCCAUUCCACAGCCGAUUUGUUACAACCUAGGCUCUGAUACCACUAAAUGUAGCACCCCAAACCCAGCCCAGAAGUUAUGGCCGGAUUCGGCAUGCCACAUCAAAAACGUAAAAAAAAAUUUCAUUCUAAGUCCAGAAAAUCGUACUUGAUGUUCAAAAGAUUAAUUUCAUUAUAGGUUAAAGUGAAUGGAAGCUGUGCACCAGGUAGGAAACCAGAAAAGAGGUGGUGAGUCCAUCGGACUGCUUAAGUACCAAGCUCCAUUCGGAUCCAAUCCUAGACAUGCAUACUACAAUUGCCACACCUUAACGUCAUGGAUAUUUCUAGGAAACCGAUUUGAUUAAGUCAUUUUUAAGAAAAGUGAUUAAUUUUGGAAAAUACUUUCAUUGCGGAAGCUUUGCUUGUUGUCGUAUUAUUUUGAAAUCAACUGUUGUUUUUGAAAACGCGCCCUAAAGCUAUCCAAUUUCAACAGUUAAAAUAAGUAUUACCUAUCUUAGUAAUACAUAUUAAAAACCAUCAAAAAUAAAUAAGCGGCAUUAUUACAUUUAAAAGCCCAAAACCUCAAACGUAAUUAAAAGGAUGUCCAGUUCACCAGAAGAAAAUCAAACUUUCAGAACGGGUGGCCACUCCGAAUUCCCUCACAGCUCCAAGCCCACUAUGGUUGGGGAUUACCUGCGUGGAUGAAAAUAAAAGGGAUGAGUUUGGGGAAACUCAGUGUAUAAAAUAACCCAACCAUAGUCUAAAUCAGCUCAACCCACAGAAACAGAAUAAGUUAGCCUUAGCCCAGAACAGAAUUCAGAAUAAAGCCCAUAGGCCCAUAACAGAACAGAACAGAUAUUACAUGUUUAUGUAGAAACCCAACCAUAUCCAACCGUAUACACCCCCGUACCAACCUUACACCAUGUGGGGAGACAACUCGACCCACCCAACCGCUACACACCACAGAAUUUUCAGCAUGGGUGCCAGAACAGAUAAUGUGACAAAGUCACCAAAUACAAAUAAUCGUGGCAGAGCCACCAGAAUAGAUAUAUGUGGCAGAGCCACCAGAUCAGAUAUUUGUGGCAUAGCCACCAGAACGGUUCCUCCAUAAUAUAACCCAUGUCCCCAUGCAAUAAAUAUAUAAUCAUGGCAUCCAUCAUACAGAAUCAGAUCGCUAUGCUUUUCAGUCAAAAUUAACCCUACGGGUAUAACGGUAAUUUUACACCCAGGGGUAUAACAGUAAUUUUCCAUACAUAGGGGUAUUAUAGUAAUUUAGCUACUUUCAGGGUUUUCAUGCAUAUCCUAACUAUUUACGUACUAUCAGAACACUUACCGCGCAUACUUACCGAAUUGGGCCCGUUGGCCCAUGAACCCGAUCUUUGGCCCAUUAAGCCUAAAUUAUCAAAAUGUACGAAAUCGCGCGUACUGCAGUUUAUUACUUUAGAUUACCAAAUAUACAAACCCAACUAUUUUACGAGCAUUCGCACACUCGCAAAUUCCCAAAAUACCGACUUUUCAGCAUUUCGGCUUUUCGGCUUUUGCCAAUCUAGUCUAUGAGAGGGUGUCAGUUACACACCUGUUUGCGACGAUAUGCUGACGAGAUCCACACACGAACCGCCUACAAUUGGAUUACUAACACAUUAAUCUAACUAUUCAAAUACAAACUACGUAUUAAACCCUUACAAUAUUCGGUCAACCACACCUACAGAUCAUAGUAAGCUUAUAAGAAAUCAAUAAGCAACUCAUUAACAAAUUUUUGUCAAUAUUUACCACAUCAUCAUAAUUUCACUGCAAGCUGUCUUUUUGAGCAACAGUCACUAAAUCAUUUAUAACUGGAGCUACGAAACUCCAAAUCAAGUGCCGUUAAUUUUUCCUGAAAAUAGACUCAUAUAUCUUAUAUCCAUAAAAUUUUUAGAAUUUUUGGUUUGUCCAAUCAAUACCAGAUAUUUCUUAAAGUUUCCCGUGUUUCACUGUUUGACUAAUCUGAACACUCUUCAUUACGAAUCAAAUUUCUCAUUGUACAGAAUUCAAAAUAUGUUCUCGUUUAUUUCAUUUGAAACUAGACUCAACAAGCUUUAAUUACAUAAUUUAUUCACCUUCUAACUCAUCUCUCAAAAUUUAUGGUGAUUUUCCAAAGUCACGUUACUGCUGCUGUCCCAAGUAGAUUUAUUACCAAAUCACUCUUUCACACAUAACUUGCAUGCAUGUUAUUUAAACAUGUAUAUCACCAAUCAAUCAUCACAUAUCUAUGAUUUUACUUAAGUAUAAUCUCCAUUUCAUCAUUUUAAAGCACAACAUGUUAGCUGAUUUUUCCCUUUAACAUCUAAGGCACAUGCAUGCUCAUUUGUUUGUCUCAACUUCACCUAUCUUCCAUUUUUCAUCAAAAGAACAUGAAACAACAACCAUUUCCUUCAUUUUAAUUCAUGACUAAAUGCUCGCAACACAACUAAAAAUCAAAAUAUACUUCAAGAGUUAAGGUAGAAUCAAGAAGAACUCAUGAACCUCAAAAUAGAAGUAAGGUACCAAGAACUUGCCUUCAAUUUUCCUCCUCCUAAUGACCGAAUACUCAAGAGCUUUCUCCUCUCCUUUCUCUUCUCUAACUUUCAGCUAUGAUGAACAAAGAUGGACAAAACUUUGUUCUUUUCACCCCUUUUUCUUUUAAUAAAACUUCAUAUUUCAUCC
Molecule: long non-coding RNA, 7911 nt
Filed under: Gossypium barbadense (sea-island cotton)
Lineage: Eukaryota; Viridiplantae; Streptophyta; Magnoliopsida; Malvales; Malvaceae
Description: long non-coding RNA (GBAR_LNC001691)
Source: RNAcentral